This is a long non-coding RNA of Solanum tuberosum (potato), 827 nucleotides long. RefSeq lists it as uncharacterized. Lineage: Eukaryota; Viridiplantae; Streptophyta; Magnoliopsida; Solanales; Solanaceae. The transcript is spliced from 3 exons. The record is from RefSeq and is a predicted model, not a curated record.
AAAAUUGUUAUAUAUUACCCAGUCUUUCAAACCAAGCUCAGUCCUAGCAGGGCUAUCUUUUCUAUUUUUCAUGCCCUCUCAAGUUUUCCUCUCAAGUUUUCAAGGUUAAAUGUGAUAACAUGUCUAAAACCAUAUAUUCAUGAUUAACUUUGUUGUUUGGUUCUUUUACUUGAUAUUUAAACUCAAGUUCUUCUCUUUUGAUAAUCUCAAUAAUAAUGAAUGCCUCUAAAGCUGCGAAAUAUUUCUAAUUCUAUGAACAUUCACUAUUGCUAUCAACUAUCCAAUGGAGAUUUCGAAAUAGUGGAUGUCAUCAGGAAGUUGUACAUAUUGAUGUAGUUAGUUUUGAAAGUGAACUUCAAUUGCUUGAAUUCUUACUUCUUUUAUCUGAUUUUCAGGUAUUUUCUUCACUUGAUAUCCUUAUUGGCGAUAUUUAAUCUACUAAAUUUUGACUUUUGCUUGAUUUGUUAUGAUUUUUAUAGUGUGCUUCAAAUUCUAUAUGUAUGACACCGAAUUAGUUCUAUAUGUGUUUUUUGGUUGAAAUAAUAAGUUGUUGGCUAUGAAAGUUACCUAUUUUAAAGAAAUAAAAAACUUUUUUGGUUGUGUAAUUAUUUCUUCUCCAAAAGAAGUUGUCCACUCAUUUUCAGGUUUCAGAUCAAAGGUUCGGUGAACAAGUCAAUUAUAGUUCUCAUCUAAGGAGGGAUGAAUACCUAUUAAAUAUUUGCAGAACCAGUUGAUCGCGCUGAGGUUCUAUUGGUCUUAUGAUUGGCUUUGGUUUUUGAAGGCCAGGGUUUAGAUGAUUUGAUGAAUUUACAAGUCUCCGACCAAAA